AGCCAGAUCACACUGAAACACCGGUUCCCAUGCAAUCACUGAAGUUAAGCAAUAUUGAGUCUGGUCAGUAACUAGAUGGGUGAUUGCUAGGGAGUACCAGGUGUUGUAAG
This is a non-coding RNA of Acanthosepion pharaonis, 110 nucleotides long. Lineage: Eukaryota; Metazoa; Mollusca; Cephalopoda; Sepiida; Sepiidae. The record is from the annotation of a GenBank genome assembly.